RNAcentral lists this ribosomal RNA (250 nucleotides) under uncultured Chroococcidiopsis sp. RNAcentral describes it as "partial 16S ribosomal RNA". It matches the Rfam family "Bacterial small subunit ribosomal RNA", at positions 796 to 1044 of the family's 1533-position model. Lineage: Bacteria; Bacillati; Cyanobacteriota; Cyanophyceae; Chroococcidiopsidales; Chroococcidiopsidaceae. The record is from RNAcentral.
CUAGCCGUAAACGAUGGAUACUAGGCGUUGUGAGUAUCGACCCUCACAGUGUCGUAGCUAACGCGUUAAGUAUCCCGCCUGGGGAGUACGCGCGCAAGCGUGAAACUCAAAGGAAUUGACGGGGGCCCGCACAAGCGGUGGAGUAUGUGGUUUAAUUCGAUGCAACGCGAAGAACCUUACCGGGACUUGACAUGUCGCGAAUCUCAGGGAAACUUGAGAGUGCCUUCGGGAGCGCGAACACAGGUGGUGC